GACGAACGCUGGCGGCGUGCUUAACACAUGCAAGUCGAACGGAAAGGCCCUGCCUUUGUGGGGUGCUCGAGUGGCGAACGGGUGAGUAAUAUGUGAGUAACCUGCCCUUGACUUUGGGAUAACUUCAGGAAACUGGGGCUAAUACCGGAUAGGAGCUCCUGCUGCAUGGUGGGGGUUGGAAAGUUUUGGCGGUUGGGGAUGGAUGCGCGGCUUAUGAGCUUGUUGGUGGGGUAGUGGUUUACAAAGGCUUUGACGGGUAGACGGCCUGAGAGGGUGACCGGCCACAUUGGGACUGACAUACGGCCCAUACUCCUACGGAAGGCAGCAGUGGGGAAGAUUGCACACUGAGCGGAGGCCUGAUUCAGCAACGCCGCGUGCGGGGUGACGGCCUUCGGGUUGUGAACCGCUUUCGCCUGUGGCGAAGCGUGAGUGACGGUAAUGGGUAAAUAAGCACCGGCUAACUACGUG
RNAcentral lists this ribosomal RNA (468 nucleotides) under uncultured bacterium. RNAcentral's name for it is "partial 16S ribosomal RNA". It matches the Rfam family "Bacterial small subunit ribosomal RNA", at positions 28 to 507 of the family's 1533-position model. The record is from RNAcentral.